This 1309-nucleotide ribosomal RNA is filed under the name uncultured bacterium. RNAcentral describes it as "bacterial SSU rRNA". It matches the Rfam family "Bacterial small subunit ribosomal RNA", at positions 28 to 1381 of the family's 1533-position model. The record is from RNAcentral.
AACGAACGCUGGCGGCAUGCCUAACACAUGCAAGUCGAACGAGAUCUUCGGAUCUAGUGGCGCACGGGUGCGUAACGCGUGGGAAUCUGCCCUUGGGUUCGGAAUAACAGUGAGAAAUUACUGCUAAUACCGGAUGAUGUCUUCGGACCAAAGAUUUAUCGCCCAAGGAUGAGCCCGCGUAGGAUUAGGUAGUUGGUGGGGUAAUGGCCUACCAAGCCGACGAUCCUUAGCUGGUCUGAGAGGAUGAUCAGCCACACUGGGACUGAGACACGGGCCAGACUCCUACUGGAGGCAGCAGUGGGGAAUAUUGGACAAUGGGCGAAAGCCUGAUCCAGCAAUGCCGCGUGAGUGAUGAACGCCUUAAGGUUGUAAAGCUCUUUUACCAGGGAUGAUAAUGACAGUACCUGGAUAAUAAGCUCCAGAUAACUCCGUGCCAGCAUCCGCGGUAAUACGGAGGGAGCUAGCGUUGUUCGGAAUUACUGGGCGUAAAGCGCGCGUAGGCUGUUACUCAAGUCAGAGGUGAAAGCCCGGGGCUCAACCCCGGAACUGCCUUUGAAACUAGGUGACUAGAAUCUUGGAGAGGUCAGUGGAAUUCCGAGUGUAGAGGUGAAAUUCGUAGAUAUUCGGAAGAACACCAGUGGCGAAGGCGACUGACUGGACAAGUAUUGACGCUGAGGUGCGAAAGCGUGGGGAGCAAACAGGAUUAGAUACCCUGGUAGUCCACGCCGUAAACGAUGAUAACUAGCUGUCCGGGCACUGGGUGCUUGGGUGGCGCAGCUAACGCAUUAAGUUAUCCGCCUGGGGAGUACGGUCGCAAGAUUAAAACUCAAAGGAAUUGACGGGGGCCUGCACAAGCGGUGGAGCAUGUGGUUUUAUUUGAAGCAACGCGCAGAACCUUACCAGCGUUUGACAUCCUCAUCGCGAUUUCCAGAGAUGGAUUUCUUCAGUUCGGCUGGAUGAGUGACAGGUGCUGCAUGGCUGUCGUCAGCUCGUGUCGUGAGAUGAUGGGGUUAAGUCCCGCAACGAGCGCAACCCUCGUCCUUAGUUGCCAUCAUUUAGUUGGGCACUCUAAGGAAACUGCCGGUGAUAAGCCGGAGGAAGGUGGGGAUGACGUCAAGUCCUCACGGCCCUUACACGGUGGGCUACACACGUGCUACAAUGGCGGUGACAGUGGGCAGCAAGCACGCGAGUGUGAGCUAAUCUCCAAAAGCCGUCUCAGUUCGGAUCGUUCUCUGCACCUCGAGAGCGUGAAGGCGGAAUCGCUAGUAAUCGCGGAUCAGCAUGCCGCGGUGAAGACGUUCCCCGGCCU